UGUGUAGGUGGUUGUCAUAGUCAGGUGUGAAAGCCUUGAGCUCAACUCAAGAAAUGCACUUGAUACUGGGCAGCUAGAGGACCGGAGAGGAUAGUGGAAUUCCCAGUGUAGUGGUGAAAUACGUAGAUAUCAGGAGGAACACCGGUGGCGAAGGCGUCCAUCUGGCCCGAUACUGACGCUGAGGCGCGAAAGCUAGGGUAGCAAACG
This 207-nucleotide ribosomal RNA is filed under the name uncultured bacterium. RNAcentral's name for it is "partial 16S ribosomal RNA". It matches the Rfam family "Bacterial small subunit ribosomal RNA", at positions 568 to 774 of the family's 1533-position model. The record is from RNAcentral.